Molecule: long non-coding RNA, 285 nt
Organism: Nematolebias whitei (Rio pearlfish)
Lineage: Eukaryota; Metazoa; Chordata; Actinopteri; Cyprinodontiformes; Rivulidae
Exons: 3
Source: RefSeq, a predicted model, not a curated record
UGAGUUAAAGGGUGUUGUCCAUUUUGGAUGUAAAGACCACAACGCUCUCCUUGCAACAUCAGCAACAACACAUGCACGACUGCCACAUUCAGAUGUGGACGAGCAGGAGGACGGCUCCAAAGCACAACAAGACACAAACAAGACCUCGUCUGCAAUUACAGCCUCUGCCUUUUUAUUUUUAACACGCUGUGGGGGUGUGCAGUAGACCACGGUGAACUCCUCCCACCGGGCUUGAAAUGCUGUAUAAAUGCAGCAUCUUUGUAUCAGCGCCAGAGUCUGAACCCC